Molecule: transfer RNA, 72 nt
Filed under: Ictidomys tridecemlineatus (thirteen-lined ground squirrel)
Lineage: Eukaryota; Metazoa; Chordata; Mammalia; Rodentia; Sciuridae
Description: Spermophilus tridecemlineatus (thirteen-lined ground squirrel) tRNA
Rfam family: tRNA
About the family: Transfer RNA (tRNA) molecules are approximately 80 nucleotides in length.
Source: Rfam by way of RNAcentral
GGAAGUGUAGCUCUGUGGUGGAGCGCUUGCUUGGUAUGCUCAGGGCUCUGGGUUUAAUCCCCAGCACUGCAA